RNAcentral lists this ribosomal RNA (253 nucleotides) under uncultured bacterium. RNAcentral describes it as "partial 16S ribosomal RNA". It matches the Rfam family "Bacterial small subunit ribosomal RNA", at positions 524 to 776 of the family's 1533-position model. The record is from RNAcentral.
UACGUAGGGCGCAAGCGUUGUCCGGAAUUAUUGGGCGUAAAGAGCUCGUAGGCGGCUUGUCACGUCUGCUGUGAAAUCCCGGGGCUCAACCCCGGGCGUGCAGUGGAUACGGGCUGGCUAGAGGCAGGCAGGGGAGAACGGAAUUCCCGGUGUAGCGGUGAAAUGCGCAGAUAUCAGGAGGAACACCGGUGGCGAAGGCGGUUCUCUGGGCAUGUCCUGACGCUGAGGAGCGAAAGUGUGGGGAGCGAACAGG